Molecule: ribosomal RNA, 465 nt
Filed under: uncultured bacterium
Lineage: Bacteria
Description: partial 16S ribosomal RNA
Rfam family: Bacterial small subunit ribosomal RNA
Source: RNAcentral
CUACGGGGUGCUGCAGUGAGGAAUUUUGCGCAAUGGGGGCAACCCUGACGCAGCAACGCCGCGUGAGUGAAGAAGGCCUUUGGGUCGUAAAGCUCUGUCAACUGGGAAGAAGUUACGGAUAUUGAAUAGAUAUUUGUAUUGACGGUACCAGUGGAGGAAGCGCCGGCUAACUCCGUGCCAGCAGCCGCGGUAACACGGGGGGCGCAAGCGUUAUUCGGAAUUAUUGGGCGUAAAGGGCGCGUAGGCGGUUUUGCCGGUCAGAUGUGAAAGCCCGGGGCUCAACCCUGGACGUGCAUUUGAAACAGCAAGACUUGAGUACGGGAGAGGAAAGCGGAAUUCCUGGUGUAGAGGUGAAAUUCGUAGAUAUCAGGAGGAAUACCGAUGGCGAAGGCAGCUUUCUGGACCGAUACUGACGCUGAGGCGCGAAGGCGUGGGGAGCGAACGGGAUUAGAUACCCGCGUAGUC